RNAcentral lists this ribosomal RNA (507 nucleotides) under Nemesia sp. CRBAME001429. RNAcentral describes it as "partial 16S ribosomal RNA". It matches the Rfam family "Bacterial large subunit ribosomal RNA", at positions 1845 to 2711 of the family's 2925-position model. Lineage: Eukaryota; Metazoa; Arthropoda; Arachnida; Araneae; Nemesiidae. The record is from RNAcentral.
ACUAUUAGUACAGCCUGCUCUAUGUAAAAUAAAUGGCCGCAGACAUUCUGUGCUAAGGUAGCAUAAUAAAUUGCCUUUUAAUUUUAGGCUAGAAUGAAAGGUAUAACAUAUUGUUUUCUUUAUUAAACAAACUCAUUGAAUUUAACCUUUUAGUAAAAAGGCUAAAAUUUUUAAGAGGACGACAAGACCCUGACAAACUUUACAUUUUCGUUUUACUGGGGGGGUAAAAAAACCCAAUCUUUUUUAUUAUAAACAACAAAAAGAUUUUAUUUUUUUCAAGUUACUGCAGGGAUAACAGCAUAAUUUUUUCUAAAAGUCCUUAUUUAAGAAAAAGUCUGUGACCUCGAUGUUGAAUUAGAUUACUAUCGGGAGAAAAAUCUUUAUAAGUGAGUCUGUUCGACUUUUAAUUUUCUACAUGAUUUGAGUUCAGACCGGCGUAAGCCAGGUCGGUUUCUAUCUCUUUUUUUUAAUCUUUAGUACGAAAGGACCAAGACUAAUUUAUUAUUU